AAGUAUAUUUAUUCAGAAUUAUAAAAAUGAUGAAUGAGUAAUAUUACAGGUUCCUAAUUAAAAUUGAUACGAUGACGUAAGCGGCGAGGGACCUGAUCCAGCGGGGAAGCACCGCGGCGGGGACGCCUUCGACGUCGGCCACGAGGAGGGACAACAGAAGAAGAGGCAUGCGGAAGAUCGCCACCAGACCAUUCUUCAAAAAUUGAUUCCCUAGCAGCAACAGCAACACUCUGCCGCUCAACAAUAAGCUGGCGCAGAGAAGGAAGAUCCAAGGUCGACGACCGAGGAUCCAAAAUAUUCAAAAUUCGAUCCAGCUCCUCAAUCUCUCCCUGAAUAAAAUCAGCAAAGAGACUCACAAGAAGAG
This 364-nucleotide long non-coding RNA is filed under the name Zostera marina. RNAcentral describes it as "long non-coding RNA (ZMAR_LNC003011)". The record is from RNAcentral. Lineage: Eukaryota; Viridiplantae; Streptophyta; Magnoliopsida; Alismatales; Zosteraceae.